GACGAACGCUGGCGACGUGCUUAACACAUGCAAGUCGAACGGUAAGGCCCUUCGGGGUACACGAGUGGCGAACGGGUGAGUAACACGUAGGUGAUCUACCCUGCACUUCGGGAUAAGCCUGGGAAACUGGGUCUAAUACCGGAUAGGACCAUGGGAUGCAUGUCCUGGGGUGGACAGCUUUUGCGGUGUGGGAUGGGCCCGCGGCCUAGCAGCUUGUUGGUGGGGUGAUGGCCUACCAAGGCGACGACGGGUAGCCGGCCUGAGAGGGUGACCGGCCACACUGGGACUGAGAUACGGCCCAGACUCCUACGGGGGGCAGCAGUGGGGAAUAUUGCACAAUGGGCGCAAGCCUGAUGCAGCAACGCCGCGUGAGGGAUGACGGCCUUCGGGUUGUAAACCUCUUUCAGCACCGACGAAGCGCAAGUGACGGUAGGUGCAGAAGAAGGACCGGCCAACUACGUGCCAGCAGCCGCCGUAA
This 478-nucleotide ribosomal RNA is filed under the name uncultured bacterium. RNAcentral's name for it is "partial 16S ribosomal RNA". It matches the Rfam family "Bacterial small subunit ribosomal RNA", at positions 28 to 523 of the family's 1533-position model. The record is from RNAcentral.